Molecule: ribosomal RNA, 253 nt
Filed under: uncultured bacterium
Lineage: Bacteria
Description: partial 16S ribosomal RNA
Rfam family: Bacterial small subunit ribosomal RNA
Source: RNAcentral
UACGGAGGAUCCGAGCGUUAUCCGGAUUUAUUGGGUUUAAAGGGAGCGUAGGUGGAUUGUUAAGUCAGUUGUGAAAGUUUGCGGCUCAACCGUAAAAUUGCAGUUGAAACUGGCAGUCUUGAGUACAGUAGAGGUGGGCGGAAUUCGUGGUGUAGCGGUGAAAUGCUUAGAUAUCACGAAGAACUCCGAUUGCGAAGGCAGCUCACUGGACUGCAACUGACACUGAGGCUCGAAAGUGUGAGUAUCAAACAGG